RNAcentral lists this unclassified non-coding RNA (528 nucleotides) under Hevea brasiliensis (rubber tree). The record is from RNAcentral. Lineage: Eukaryota; Viridiplantae; Streptophyta; Magnoliopsida; Malpighiales; Euphorbiaceae.
AAAGGCUUUCACAAAAUGAAUCAACUCUCUAAUGGCUUCUCAUGUCUGAAUUUGGAUGUCGCCGAUAGCCAGGAUGACACAAAAACUCUUGGGGAAACUGAGACAGUAAAUGGAAGAGGUAAAGCCAAGGAAAAAGAUGACAACUCAGGAGAGUACGAAUUGCCACUUGUAUGGAUUGACCUUGAGAUGACUGGUUUGGAUAUUGAAGUUGAAAGGAUAUUGGAGAUUGCUUGUAUAAUUACUGAUGGAAACUUGACCAAAUCAAUUGAGGGUCCUGAUUUAGUUAUACAUCAAACUAAGGAGUGUCUGGACAAUAUGGGAGAAUGGUGUCAGACCCAUCAUGCAGCGAGUGGUUUGACUCAGAAGGUGCUCGAGAGUACCAUCACUGAAGAAGAAGCCGAGAAGCAGGUUGUUGAAUUUGUCAAGAGAAAUAUAAGGACUUAUACACCACUGCUCGCAGGAAAUUCAAUCUAUACGGAUCUUCUUUUUCUGAAGAAGUUCAUGCCAAAUUUGGCAAGUUUGUUUUCG